Long non-coding RNA from Dermacentor andersoni, 817 nucleotides. RefSeq lists it as uncharacterized. NCBI's taxonomy places the organism in Eukaryota, Metazoa, Arthropoda, Arachnida, Ixodida, Ixodidae. The record is from RefSeq and is a predicted model, not a curated record.
CGCAUUAUACACCGCAGUGUUAGACCAUACGCAGGGGAGAUAUGUGUACCUAAUAAUGCGUGUGAUUUUAACUGUCUCGAAAGUGCUGUAGUUUCACCUACUUUUUUAUGGCUUAGCGAAAUAAGCACCACUGUUACUCGUUCGAAGUGUCUGAAGGCGCUUUCUACCAUAUAUUGUGUUUCCAUCUUAACUUACCGAUUCUCGGCGGUGCCUUAUAUGCAGCGACGUGAAGAGAGCAAACGGCGUUAACCUUGUGCAGUCUCGGGAACUCUCUGGUCGAGAACUGGCAGUCGGUCGCCCUGAAUCGCGGUGAUAUUCUCGACCGCUAGGCAGCCGCCGGACAGUUCGGGUUCGCCCAGUGGACCGGAUGGACGGAUGGAUGCUGGAUGGAUGCUAUAAGCGUCUCCCUUGGAACGGAGUGACCGUGCUGCUUCAGGGCCGCCACCUGGCGGUGCUUCCGUACGCGCCCUCCUUUCCCUCGUUCGACGAGAACGUGCCACGCGGCUCAUGAACCAAGGAGGCCUCGGCAACCACGCCUCUUCGAUGCUGAGCCAACUGUUCGUACACAGCUCAUCCAGACGGUGGUCGGCGACCACUUCACGAGGACCACGAAGCAGCAGUGCCCGCCGAGGCCCAGACCCGCGUCGAGGGCUCCAGCCGAGGCCCUGUGCCAAGACGCGACGGCUGAGGAACGCCGGGAACUAUGCGGAUAGCGCUCAAGGAGAAGACAUGUGGUAGACUGCAUACAAGGCGCAAACCGCCCCACUGACACGGGAUGACACUGCCUUGAUAAUAAAGGAACAAAUAAAGAGGGAAC